ACACUUAUUUAGAAAAAUAACUAAUAAUGAAAAAUUACAAAAGUGAGACCUAUUUAUAGGCACUCAAACAAAGACAUAAUCCUACUAGGAAAACUUAAACUAAUUGUACUUGUGCAACAUCUCCUUUAAAACUAAUCCUACUUGUGCUACAUCUCCUUUAAUAAAUAUAACUCUGAAAACAAACAAAAAAUAAAUAAUUAAGCCUAACUGAUAUGAACUUGCUUAACUCUACCUUAAAAGCUAGCUUACAAGGAGAGGUUUGUAAACCCAUAUAUAUAACACCCAAGACCUUCGUGCAGAACCGAUGUGGAAUGCAUCAUUCUCGAC
Molecule: unclassified non-coding RNA, 327 nt
Filed under: Hevea brasiliensis (rubber tree)
Lineage: Eukaryota; Viridiplantae; Streptophyta; Magnoliopsida; Malpighiales; Euphorbiaceae
Source: RNAcentral